This 425-nucleotide ribosomal RNA is filed under the name uncultured bacterium. RNAcentral describes it as "bacterial SSU rRNA". It matches the Rfam family "Bacterial small subunit ribosomal RNA", at positions 356 to 773 of the family's 1533-position model. The record is from RNAcentral.
AGGGAAUUUUCCACAAUGGACGAAAGUCUGAUGGAGCAACGCCGCGUGAACGAUGAAGGUCUUCGGAUUGUAAAGUUCUGUUGUCAGGGACGAAUAAGUACCGUUCGAACAGGGCGGUACCUUGACGGUACCUGACGAGAAAGCCACGGCUAACUACGUGCCAGCAGCCGCGGUAAUACGUAGGUGGCAAGCGUUGUCCGGAAUUAUUGGGCGUAAAGCGCGCGCAGGCGGCUAUGUAAGUCUGGUGUUAAAGCCCGGGGCUCAACCCCGGUUCGCAUCGGAAACUGUGUAGCUUGAGUGCAGAAGAGGAAAGCGGUAUUCCACGUGUAGCGGUGAAAUGCGUAGAGAUGUGGAGGAACACCAGUGGCGAAGGCGGCUUUCUGGUCUGUAACUGACGCUGAGGCGCGAAAGCGUGGGGAGCAAAC